RNAcentral lists this ribosomal RNA (468 nucleotides) under uncultured bacterium. RNAcentral's name for it is "partial 16S ribosomal RNA". It matches the Rfam family "Bacterial small subunit ribosomal RNA", at positions 28 to 507 of the family's 1533-position model. The record is from RNAcentral.
GACGAACGCUGGCGGCGUGCUUAACACAUGCAAGUCGAACGGAAAGGCCCUGCUUUUGUGGGGUGCUCGAGUGGCGAACGGGUGCGUAACACGUGAGUAACCUGCCCUUGACUUUGGGAUAACUUCAGGUAACUGGGGCUACUACCGGAUCGGAGCUCCUGCUGCAUGGUGGGGGUUGGAAAGUUUCGGCGGUUGGGGAUGGACUCGCGGCUUAUCAGCUUGUUGGUGGGGUAGUGGCUUACCCAGGCUUUGACGGGUAGCCGGCCUGAGAGGGUGACCGGCCACAAUGGUACUGAGAGACGGCCCAGACUGCUACGGGAGGCAGCAGUGGGGAAUAUUGCACAAUGGGCGGAAGCCUGAUGCAGCAACGCCGCGUGCGGGAUGACGGCCUUCGGGGUGUAAACCGCUUUCGCCUGUGACGAAGCGGGAGUGACGGUAAUGGGUAAAGAAGCACCGGCUAACUACGUG